RNAcentral lists this ribosomal RNA (427 nucleotides) under uncultured bacterium. RNAcentral's name for it is "partial 16S ribosomal RNA". It matches the Rfam family "Bacterial small subunit ribosomal RNA", at positions 355 to 774 of the family's 1533-position model. The record is from RNAcentral.
UGGGGAAUAUUGCACAAUGGGCGCAAGCCUGAUGCAGCCAUGCCGCGUGUGUGAAGAAGGCCUUCGGGUUGUAAAGCACUUUCAGCGAGGAGGAAGGGUAGUGUGUUAAUAGCACAUUGCAUUGACGUUACUCGCAGAAGAAGCAACGGCUAACUCCGUGCCAGCAGCCGCGGUAAUACGGAGGGUGCAAGCGUUAAUCGGAAUUACUGGGCGUAAAGCGCACGCAGGCGGUUUGUUAAGUCAGAUGUGAAAUCCCCGCGCUUAACGUGGGAACUGCAUUUGAAACUGGCAAGCUAGAGUCUUGUAGAGGGGGGUAGAAUUCCAGGUGUAGCGGUGAAAUGCGUAGAGAUCUGGAGGAAUACCGGUGGCGAAGGCGGCCCCCUGGACAAAGACUGACGCUCAGGUGCGAAAGCGUGGGGAGCAAACA